RNAcentral lists this ribosomal RNA (468 nucleotides) under uncultured bacterium. RNAcentral's name for it is "partial 16S ribosomal RNA". It matches the Rfam family "Bacterial small subunit ribosomal RNA", at positions 28 to 507 of the family's 1533-position model. The record is from RNAcentral.
GACGAACGCUGGCGGCGUGCUUAACACAUGCAAGUCGAACGGAAAGGCCCUGCUUUUGUGGGGUGCUCGAGUGGCGAACGGGUGAGUAACACGUGAGUAACCUGCCCUUGACUUUGGGAUAACUUCAGGAAACUGGGGCUAAUACCGGAUAGGAGCUCCUGCUGCAUGGUGGGGGUUGGAAAGUUUCGGCGGCUGGGGAUGGACUCGCGGUUUCUCAGCUUGUUGGUGGGGUAGUGGCUUACCAAGUCUUUGACGGGUAGCCGGCCUGAGCGGGUGACCGGACACAUUGGGACUGAGAUACGCCCCAGACUCCUACGGGAGACAGCAGUGGGGAAUAUUGCACAAUGGGGGGAAGCCUGAUGCGGAAACGCCGCGUGCGGGGUAGCGGCCUUCGGGUUGUAAACCGCUUUCGCCGGUGACGAGGCGUGAGUGACGGUAAUGGGUAAAGAAGCACCGGCUAACUACGUG